AAGUUUUAGCAUUCUUUAAUGUUUUUGAUGUCAUUAUAAUCAUCGCAGUUGCCAAGGGAAAAAAAUAACACGACAUGGUAAAUAAAGCCACCUAUCACACACACGCAUAUAUAAAGCUCAUGUGAACAGCUCCAAGAACUCACAGCAGCUCAAACACAAACACACACACCUAGGACAGUACAAUUUCAACAUCCACAACGCAUUCAGUCUGCCAUCAUUUCUGUGCCACAGAAUCCUAGGGACACCACCAGUAUAGUCAAAACUUGGAUUGCUCGCUAUCCCGAUGCACUCAGAAAUCCAAUGUUCACCAAAGAACAAAAAAGUAUAAUGUGUUGGUAUGAACUUUGUAGGACGCGCUCAGCAAACAAUAUCAUCAAAGAUGACUAAGAUAAAAGCACUGCUGAAUCAGUGUUACCAAGUGCUAAGGGUGUAACACAAACAACACACUACAUGCCUGACUGAUCAAGACAUUGCUCGACUAUUCAGUUCUCAAAUGUGUGCUUGUCUUGAGAAUAGACAGCACUUUCCACUUAGUGCUUGUACGUCAAGUUUAUAGUGUCAAUUAUUACCAAUGUAUGAGUUAUGAAUACAAUGCAGUGUCUCGGUACUUUCAUGGCCAGUGAAUACAAUGC
This is a non-coding RNA of Biomphalaria pfeifferi, 632 nucleotides long. Lineage: Eukaryota; Metazoa; Mollusca; Gastropoda; Planorbidae. The record is from the annotation of a GenBank genome assembly.